Molecule: ribosomal RNA, 525 nt
Filed under: uncultured archaeon
Lineage: Archaea
Description: bacterial SSU rRNA
Rfam family: Archaeal small subunit ribosomal RNA
Source: RNAcentral
CAGCAGGCGUGAAAACUUUACAAUGCGGGAAACCGUGAUAAGGGGACACCGAGUGUCAGCAUCAUCUGCUGGCUGUCCAGGUGUGUAAAAUACACCUGUUAGCAAGGGCCGGGCAAGACCGGUGCCGGCCGCCGCGGUAACACUGGCGGCUCGAGUGGUCAUCGUGAUUAUUGGGUCCAAAGGGUCCGUAGCCGGUUUGGUCAGUCCUCCGGGAAAUCUGACGGCUCAACCAUUAGGCUAUUGGGGGAUACUUCCAGGCUUGGAACUGGGAGAGGUAAGAGUUACUACAGGUGUCGGAGUGAAAUCUUGUAAUCCCUGUGAGACCACCUGUGGGGAAGGCCUAUCACCAGAACGGGUUUGACGGUGAGGGAAGAAAGAUGGGGGCACGAACCGGAUGAGAUACCCGGGUAGUCCCAACCGUAUAAUCGAUGCUCCCUAGGUGUCAGGCAUGGCGCGACCGCGUCUGGUGCCGCAGGGAAGCCGUGAAGCUAGCCACCUCGGAAGUACGGCCUCAAGGCUGAAAAU